CAAAUAAAUUCACCCAGCUUUCUCCUCACUGUGUGUUGACAAAAUAAUUAGAACAAGUUCAUAAUCAUAGGAAGCAGGAGAGCCAGGCUUUGAAUGUGGCAGUUUAUUGCACUUUAAAUCCCGGGACUUUGUUGCCUCUCCAAUAAACAGAAUAUGCAUGGCAAGGUUGUCGUUCCAGCUACAUAGUUGAGCUGUAACCACUGAAACCGAAAACUUAUCCUGAUAAGACCACAUAUUUGCCUUAACUGUGUGAAAAUACAAAAAAAAAAAAAAAAGGAUUUUAUUCGUUCCGUGACAUCAGUUUCAAAGAGUGGGAACAUAUGCCUAUUAAAGAGCAUUCCUUUAAUACAUGGAUGAUGACUUCAUCAUCUGCUAUCUGAGUUUGUUUUUUUUUUUUUUUUCAGGAUCUACAGACACAGAUGAAGAGACAUAUAGAUAGAAUCACAUUUACGUCAUACCAUUGGACGGAGCAUCCCUGAUUUGAAGACCUGGGCUCCUGCGCACUGAUCGAUGGCUCCAAGGUGGCAAAGAAAAUGGUGGUGACUGCAACAUGCUGGUUUCAAGCUUUGGACUCAAGAGGCCUUGCACACAACUAUUCUUCUUUUUUCUCCCUUCCCUCUGCUCCUACCAUGAGAACAAGCUGAAGCCAGCAUCCUGGAAGAGAUCAGCCAAGAUCAGCAAAGCUGACUAGGGAUGGACAAGCAAACCCCGCUGAGAAGAGAGCAUUGCCUGGCUACCCUGGACAUUCUUCCCUCUCUCUUUCUUUCCCUCCCUCUCUUUCUUCUCUUUUUUCUCUCUUUUUCAAUAAAGAUAUGGUUUUCUUUAAAUUGC
Herpailurus yagouaroundi (jaguarundi) is the source of this 831-nucleotide long non-coding RNA. RefSeq lists it as uncharacterized. The transcript has 2 exons. Lineage: Eukaryota; Metazoa; Chordata; Mammalia; Carnivora; Felidae. The record is from RefSeq and is a predicted model, not a curated record.